UACGUAGGUGGCAAGCGUUGUCCGGAUUUAUUGGGCGUAAAGCGAGCGCAGGCGGAAAGAUAAGUCUGAUGUGAAAGCCCCCGGCUUAACCGAGGAAUUGCAUCGGAAACUGUGUUUCUUGAGUGCAGAAGAGGAGAGUGGAACUCCAUGUGUAGCGGUGAAAUGCUUAGAGAUCAUACAGAACACCGAUUGCGAAGGCAGCUUACCAAGCUACUUCUGACGUUGAGGCACGAAAGCGUGGGGAGCAAACAGG
This 253-nucleotide ribosomal RNA is filed under the name uncultured bacterium. RNAcentral's name for it is "partial 16S ribosomal RNA". It matches the Rfam family "Bacterial small subunit ribosomal RNA", at positions 524 to 776 of the family's 1533-position model. The record is from RNAcentral.